GCGGGUAUGGUUCAGUGGUAGAACAACUGGUUGCCAAUCAGUUGACGCGAGUUCGAUUCUCGCUACCCGCACCA
RNAcentral lists this transfer RNA (74 nucleotides) under Candidatus Kaiserbacteria bacterium RIFCSPHIGHO2_02_FULL_54_22. RNAcentral's name for it is "tRNA-Gly". It matches the Rfam family "tRNA". Rfam says of the family: Transfer RNA (tRNA) molecules are approximately 80 nucleotides in length. Their secondary structure includes four short double-helical elements and three loops (D, anti-codon, and T loops). Further hydrogen bonds mediate the characteristic L-shaped molecular structure. tRNAs have two regions of fundamental functional importance: the anti-codon, which is responsible for specific mRNA codon recognition, and the 3' end, to which the tRNAs corresponding amino acid is attached (by aminoacyl-tRNA synthetases). tRNAs cope with the degeneracy of the genetic code in two manners: having more than one tRNA (with a specific anti-codon) for a particular amino acid; and 'wobble' base-pairing, i.e. permitting non-standard base-pairing at the 3rd anti-codon position. The record is from RNAcentral. Lineage: Bacteria; Candidatus Kaiseribacteriota. RNAcentral also lists the same sequence under 3 other names.